This 138-nucleotide small nuclear RNA is filed under the name Aotus nancymaae (Ma's night monkey). Its description in RNAcentral is "U4 spliceosomal RNA (ENSANAG00000003820.1)". It matches the Rfam family "U4 spliceosomal RNA". Rfam says of the family: U4 small nuclear RNA (U4 snRNA) is a component of the major U2-dependent spliceosome. The structure of U4 snRNA from yeast and human has been reported. Lineage: Eukaryota; Metazoa; Chordata; Mammalia; Primates; Aotidae. The record is from RNAcentral.
UUUUUUUCGCAGUGGCAGUAUCGUAGCCAAUGAGGUUUACCCAAGGUGUGAUUAUUGCUAAUUGAAAACUUUUCCCAAUACCCCACCAUGACGACUUGAAAUAUAGUUGGCAUUGGCAACUUUUGGCAGUCUAUGGGA